RNAcentral lists this long non-coding RNA (24434 nucleotides) under Theobroma cacao (cacao). RNAcentral describes it as "long non-coding RNA (TCAC_LNC005937)". The record is from RNAcentral. Lineage: Eukaryota; Viridiplantae; Streptophyta; Magnoliopsida; Malvales; Malvaceae.
UUUGCUCUUUCCUUUAUUUGGAAGCUCCUGUUCCCUUCCCCUUUCUUCCUUAUCUUUUCUUCACUUUUCAUUUUGACUCUCUCUCAAUUAACACUACUUUUUCUUCUGCUAUUCUCUGGAAGCUUCCUGAACAUGUUCUGUUUUUCUACUUUCGUCCUAGUCUCUCAAACCCUUUUAUUGAUAGACUCUGCAAGUUUAUUCUCUUUCUUCUCUCUUUGUUUUCACUCUCCACUAUUUCUCAACAGCAGGGUGCUCCUUGGUCAGUCUGUCUUCUUUCUGUUUCCGCUAUCGACAUUAUUUCACCAGCGACAUCCUCCGUGAUCGGAUUUCUUUGUGGCUGCUCUUCUUUCUUACUGAUUGAUGACUCUUUCUAUAGUCGAAGGUGGAAUACAAAACAAGGAAGAGAAGGAUAGCUAUAGGUUAAGAGGUUCAAAUUUUUUAAUAUUUUAUUUUUAUUAAUAAUUAAUUAUUUAUUUAUAUUAAAUGUAAUUAUGUAAGAUUGAUUGAUGUGAAAUUUGCAGAAAGAAAAAUUUUUGAGGUAUUAAUAUAACGUGAGGUUUGUAAUUUUUUACCUCUUGUUAAACAUUAGAUUUGUUGUUUUAUAUUUAUAUAUUUAUGAUGUCAUUUAUGUAUAGAUAUUUGUUUGUUUAAAUUUAUUUUUUUAUUUUAAUAUUAAUAUCUAUGUUUUAUAUUAAAUACAAUCAUAGGGGGUUAAUAGAUGACUCUUAUAAUUGAAGAUGGAGAUAUAAAAUAAAGAAGAUAAAAAAAAUUGUUGGUUUGAAUGUUUGAAUUUUUUAUAUAUAUAUUUUAAUUUUUUAAUUAAUAUUUAUUUAUUUAUUUAUAUUAGAUUCGAUCAAGAAUGAUUGAUGAAAAAUUUAUAAAAAGAAAAAAAAUUUAGUAAUUUUUUUUAAAGUAAUAUGAUGUGAAGUAUGUAUUUUUUGAUUUUUUUUGUUAAUGUUUAUUACCUAUUGUUAGAUCUUUUAAUUAUAAGUUGUGUUUUGUUGUUUCAUUAUUUAUAUAUUUAUAAUUUUAUUUAUGGAUGAAUAUUUGUUUUAUAGCAGAUGGUGGACAUAAAAAAAAUAAGAGAAGGUUAGCUAUGGGUUUUGAGGUUUAAAAUUUUUUAUUUUUAAAAUUUUUUAUUAAUAUUAAGUUUGCAUUUUUUGAUGUUUGUUUCUUGUUGAUAGGUGUUCUAACUAUGAGUUGGAUUUAUUAUUUCAUCAUUUAUAUAUUUAUAAUUUCAUUCAUGUAUAAGCAUUUGUUGUUCAAAUUUUUUAUUUUUUUAUUUUGUUAUUAAUAUUUAUUAUUCUAUAUUAAAUGCAAUCAUGCAAGUUGAUCGAUGACUUCUUUUACAGUCGAAAGUGGAGAUAUAUGAAAUGAUGUGAAUAAUAUUACCUUUGUACUACUACCAAACCCAAAGUGCAUGAAUUGUGCCUGGGCAUAAUAGUGAUUGAUAUUAAGAAUAAAUGAAGAUAUAGUUGAAUUAUGAAAUUUUGGUACCUUGGUCAUGUUCAUCUUAAGAGUGAAUUAAGGAGUGCAUGCGUAACUAUACUAAAUUUGGCUACUGGAUUUGUGAUAGUGUGAAAGUUCAUGAUGAAAAUAGUAAGCUUGUAAAAGUUAGACCAUUAGAGUGAUGUCUUUUUGAGGCCUUUCGCAUUUCAAAAUGGAAACGGAGAUGGAUGGUUAUAGAUUCUAUAUAUACGCAAACUAGAACCCAAGAAAGAGAAAUGAUGGCAUUGGAAUGAAUAGAAAUAAGUAAACUUGAAAUGAUGUUACAAAUCUUGCACAAUAUAUGGUUGGUGGAAAUGGAAAAUAUUGUUCUUUAAUAAUGUCACUAGGAACAUAGGUGUCUUGACUUGCCACAAUGUGAUAUUUUUAGAAUGAUCAUCACUAGUUUGGUUUUCAAAUCAAACACUUUGUCAAAGGUUUGCAAGGAUGGUGGUAACAUUUUUCCUAUAAAUGAUUCAAUAGUUAUCAUUAAACAUCACUGGGUAGGGAUGGUGGUAAGCAAGCGCAAUGGUCAUUGUCUUGCUUGUGAUUCUUGCAUGCACCAAUUGUGAUAAAGAGAAUUGAGAUUGGGCAACCAAUGAUAACUAAGCCCAUAGUGUAUUGCACUUUUAGAUGUCAUUGAGUAUAGGGUAGUGGAAUGUCUUGAGAAGACAAGUUGAAGAACCCAAUCCAAGAGAAAAACUUUUGUAUAUGCAAUAUGAUGUAAUCAAAUGAGUGAUGAGUAGUUUAGAAAAUUCGAGGACGAAUUUUCUUGAGAAGGGAGAAUGAGAAACCUUAACUUUUCAUUUGAAUGGAAUUUGAUGAAUGUUGAAUAUUUAAUGAGCUAUAUUUGAUUGUGUUAUUGGAUGGGCUUUCCCAACCAAUUUUCUUUAAAUUUAUCUUUCAUAUGGUGUUUUAAUUAUGGAAGUUUUUAGACUUAAAAUAGCUUUUGGAAGUAAGGAGGAUCGACUCUUGAAAGAGAAGGGUUGAUCCCUAGAAAACAGGACAAAAUAAAAAGCCCUAACUUAAUCUUUACUUCUUAUUUUUCAUUUCUUAAGCCUUCAUUCACUCUCUAAUAGCCUCAAAACCACUUUUACAACCAUUCGAUAUCCUAUUUAGCAAGGAAUCAACUUUCUAAACUCGAAUCUAAGGUGAGAUUUAUCAUUUUCAUGUUUUGGAAACCAUGGGUUUAACCUAACACCUUUUUGUACGAAUUCGAACUCAUUUAAUCCUUCAUUAAACUCGAAUCUAAUUGCCCUUGAACCAAUUGGAUUGGUCAACAAAUAUAUAUUACCAUUUAAUACAUAUUUAAUUACUUAACUAUAUGUGAUAGAGGUUUUUUUUCAUAUUAGUACAAUAAUAAGAAAUUAUUAAGUGUUAAUUGGAUUAAGCCCAUGGAACAUAUAAGUUUUGCAAGAGAAUUGUAAAGUUGUUAUAAUUAUGAGAUCUUUAUGCAUCAAAGUCAUGUUUCUAAAAUAAUUUUUGAUUAUUGUAUUGUCAACAUAGGGUAUUGACAAUGCUCAAAGAUUGAUACAUGUUAAGUUUCUUUACUUGAGAAGUAAGUAAAAGAUCUUAUAAAUUGAAGUAUAUGAGAUACUUAAGGAUGACAUGUGGGUGCUUAUUAGAGAACAAAUUUACUGAACAUGACCCACUGUGAGAACCCCAUUUGGUAUUUCACUAAGAUGUCUAUGGAAUAUGUUCUUAUGUUACAGUCAUGUUAUCAAUCCUUGAACUUGAGAUCCCAAGUCAUCUUUUAUGAGGAAAGACAUUUAGAUUUCACUUUUAUGGGUUUGGAGGCGAUUAGAUGUCUAAACAAAGUCUUUUUAGGUGUGCCGCAAGGCAUGCUAAGGUGGAUGAGUUAUUAAGAGAGGAUUUAACGCCUUAAGUGAUAUGAGGAGAUAUAUCUCACUUGUUCUCAACUUUAAAUUAACUUAUAUAAAGUCUUUGGUCAAAACAUAAUGAAUUUGAGGAAAGUUAGUUUCCUAAAUUCAUAAGGUUAGUCAUGAAUUACAAAAACUAAUAUGGAAUGUCAUAAGUAGACACUGAGUCAUGCUUUAUGACAUUUGAUAUAUUUGAUAAAAGGACCGUAUUGCAUUGAGAGACUUAUCACUAAAUGUUUUUGUCAAAUUUUUUAAUUGACUGUUUAAUAUUUGAGUUGUCAUGAUGUGUUGUUAAAUAUCGCUCAUGAUCUACAAAUAUAAAUUAAUUAAUAAAUUGAUAUUUGAUUAUGAUUUAUAUUUAUUACGGACAUGUUAGAAGCGUAAUGGGUCACACACAUUAAGUGACAUGAUUGAGAUUAAAGAGAGAUAAUUAAUUCAGUUAGACUUGAUUGAAAUAGAUCAAAAUAAAGUGAAAAAUAUAAGUUCACAAAGACUUAAAUUGAAUAGAAAUAAAAAUGUUGUAUCUAGGGUUACAACUUAGUUUGGCUAUAUAAAUAUGUUAUGUUAAGCAACUAAAACUUGAAGCUUUAAGCCACUUUUUAGCAGAUUCAUAAAAUAAGAAAAGAACAAUAAAUUUUUUGUCCGACAAAAAUAAGGUUUGGCUAGGGUUUUUGGUUUUUGUUUCUUUAAAAACAAAACUUGCAAUAGAACAAGUAAAAUAAAUCUUAUCUCUGAGAAGGUCUUAUUUGUUUACUGUAUGGAUUAUCGUUAGAGGCUAAACACUUGGGUGGCGGAAGAUUUAACAAAUCUUAAAAGUGAAGAAGCAAAGAUUUCAACUGUAAGAUUUCAGAUUGUUUUAUUCUCUUUGUGGGUUUCUUACUUCCUCAAAAGCUUUUUGGAUUUCAUUAGCUCUCGAGUACGAUAUUUGGAGCAAGGUAUGUAAUACUUGAAUUUAUGAGCAUUCAUAACUAAUAUGAAAAUUGCAUGAAAAACACAUAAUUUUUCUAAGGGAUUCGACUGGUUGUUUGAUUAAAUGUAUUAUCUUAUUUUUUCGUUAUGUUAUGCUUUUAAUUCAUUGAUUAAUUUCAUGUUUGAACAUGAGGUUGAAUCCCAACAUUUUACAAUUCAAAGAUGUUAAGUUAUGGAUGUUUAAGGCUGCUCCAUAAAUAAUUUAAGUUUGAAGUUUUGAAUAUUGUUGAAAUUGAAAUGAAAAAUAUUUGAUUACUUGACUAGUUUCGAAGGUGUGUUUGCUGGAGACUAUGAGAUUUAUAAUAGGAUUUAUUGUGCUAGGUGAUUGUUAGAGCUCGAGAUUGUAAAACGAGCAAAGUUAUGUGAUUUGGAGCUUAGAAAAAUAUACUUCUUGUCAAGGUGAAUGGUUACACCUCUUUCACUAUUUUACUAUGUAAAGUGAGCAUGUUUUAUGAGCUAUUUACCUUUGCAUGAUUUUUAUGUCAUUGGUAAAAAUGUUGGUUGUGAGAAUUAUGUUCAAACUUUUUCAAAAAUGUUUUGAACUUACCAUGAGCCUGUUUUGCUUGAUUUUUUUUAGCUUAAAAGCUAUUAUGAAGUUUUAAUGAAAAAUAAUAGAUUUUAAAAUUACGUUAAAAUUGCUUGAUAAAUUUACUUUUAUAAACUCUUUUUUAUACAUAAGCUAUUUGGUAAAAUAAUUUAUAUUAGCUCUAAUUUCGGUUAAAAUUAUUAUAAGAGGUAAUGUUGAGAUUAUUUUUAAUAGAUGAAGAUAUUUUUGAAAUAAAAAGAAAAAUUCUCUUUAAAAGUUGACAUGUUUUUAAAAGAAGAGAAAAAAAGAGCAAGCUCCUCUUUGGAGCUUUUUUUAAAGAUUUUGUCCUUAAAAAAAAGAUUUUUUUUUUUUAAAAGUUUCUCAAAAUCUUGUUGGGCCUGACUUUUUCUUUUAAUAAAUAGAUAAGCGAAAAAAAAGCUAAGCCAAAUAGGCACUAUAUAUGUAAAUGGUACAAUGUAUUAGUUUUGGACAAGAAGGGACAAGCCCUGUCAAAUGAUUUCUCUUCAAAUAUUCCUCAAUGAUAUGGUCAACAUGGAAUUGACAUUUAAACAUAAAAUGAUGUGUACAUCCUCUUGUAUGAAAUUGAUACGAAAAUAUUAAUGAUAAUGGGCUAUGUGAGCAUUGGUUUUACUUGAUUGAGCAUGAAAUUACCCAUUGGUAUGUGCACUUGUAAAUGUGUGUAUGGUUAUGUUGAGUUGACUGUAUGCUUGAAAUGGUUAUAUUGAUGAAUUGUGGAGAUUAUGAAGUGAAGGGGUGUAUACAAAGGGUUUAAAUUCUAAAUUCUUCAUGUUGCAACAUGAUACAAUGCAUAUGGGGUGUAAAUGGAGGGCCCUAGACCAUCGAGGCACUGAUGACUUGGACAAUAUAAAGGUGUAGACAGAGGGUCUGUCACAGCCCAAUCUUGAGCCGUGACCAAUGCAUGAACCCAAUAGGCAUAACCCACUGGACCUAAGCAAGCCUUUUUAUAUGAAUCUGUACAUUAGUCUAUCUAUCAUCUAUAUUUCUUUGGGAUCUAUAACUCGUAAUAUUGAAUUGAUAAUUUCUUUGAAAACAAUUCAUAAAACCCAAAUUAUAUUCAUAAUAGCAUCAUUAAUCAAAAUAUACAUAGAUAGUUUGCCAAAUGAAUCUUACAAUUCACAUUAAACAUACAUGUACAUAUGCAAGGACCCUAACCGUUAGCAGAGCGACUCUGAGCGUGGAUGCUAACGUUUAGUGUCAUGGCAAAUUUACUAAAAAUGGAUGAGAAUGAGUACCUCAAUCUAGGAUUCAAUUUACUCUAAUUCAGAGAAUCUAAAACAUGAAGUUUAAAAGAAUGAGUAUAAACUUAGUAAGUGAACAUAAGAAGAGAACAAGCACCAAUACGGGAAGUUCUUGAAAUCAUGAUGCACUUAUGUCGAAAACAAUGCAAUUUAGUUUAAUUUCUUGUUAAAAUGCCUCAAUUCAACCCUUGAUUAUUUAGUGCCUUAGUAUUGAAAGAUCCAUGAUCAACAAUGAAGUUAAAAAGUGAAAACUAUGGUAGAGUCCAAGCAAGGCAAGCAUGGCAGAGUGAAUCUUGCUGCAACGAAAUUUAGGGCAAAGUUUUGAACCAACCACCCAAGAGUUUCUUGCUGUAGUGAGAAUGAAUUUUGCUGUAGCGAAAACUCGGGCAAGUAUUUUACCCAACCACCCGAGAGUUUUUCGCUACAGCCAGAAUGCAUUUUUGCCGUAGUGAAAAUUUGGGCUAGUCAAGACCUCAGCACCCAAGAGUUUCUUGCUGUAGCGAGAAUGAAAUUUCGUUGCAACGAGAAACAGGGCAAUGAAAUUAAAAGAAUUCUUGUCAUAACGAAAAUCUAUUUUUGCUGCAGUGAAAAUCAAUUGAAAAGCAUUUAUCGAAUUUUAACAUUCAAGAAUCAAUGCAAUCACAAUAUAUUUUUCAUAACCUCUCUAUAUGUAACUUAUAUAAACAUACAUACGACCACCAGCAUCACCCCAACUUUCCUUCAGCUCUUGCAUUCUCAUAUCGCACAUAGCUGGGUUAUCAUCAGCUCAUGUGCACUCUCACACCGCAUAUAGAUAGGUCAUCAUUAUCACACAAUAGUAUCAUUCAAUGCAUAAUAUACAUUUCAACAUAAUGUGGGAACACAUGAACUAAUCACAUUGCACAUUUCACAAUAUAAAAACAUUUCAUCAAGGGCUUUUUCCUUAGGUAUAAUUUAAAGCAAAAAACAAAUAAGAUUUUCAAAUGAUUCAUUCAAACACAAGUAUUUCCCAAAACAAUUUAUUUGCAGGUUCACUCACUUGUCUUUGUGGAUUCUUUAAUCGACUCCAACUUCCACUAAUGCUCCAAGUGAAAAUGUGGGGUCUUGUUGGAACCUAUUGCACACAAUAGCAUCAUACCAACUCAAUUUACAUGAAUAUUAUUUCGAAAGUUGUUUCCUAAAUCUAGUUUUUUUUAACUAGUCGUUCCUAACUAGCUCUCAAUUACCAUUUGACUGGCUAUUCAUUUACACUACUCUAGUCACACUAUAAAUAAAUAAAUAACCUUCAAUAAAUAAAUAGUCUACAAUUAAUUAUUUACCAUCAUCAACAACUUAAAAAUCAACCCUAACUCAUUAUUCACCUUAGUGAAUUUGUAGUUGAAUUCCUUUUUCAAGAGUUUUUCAAGCUAUUAUGGAAAGUCUCCCUCUCUUUCUAAAACGUUUAGCUAGUGAUAGAAAGUGCUGAAGAAAGACCUUUGAGAGUUUUUAAGGUGAAAGGGUGAAAUAGUAAGAAAAAUCCUAUGGAAAGGUGUAUAAAAACAUGAGAAUUGAAGUUACCAUGAGAGAGUUAUGGAGGUUUCAAGGGAGGCUUCCAUGGAAGAUGGAAAUCGUGAAAUGAGGAGAAGAGAUGGAAGGAAGAAAAAGCUGUUGGAAAUAAGGAGAAGUUGCUGGAGAAUUAGAUAUUUAUGCUUAAAGUUGACUAAAGUUCUCUUUAUUUGCAAAAAUGCCAUUGCAUAGUUGACUUUGCCUUCUUCUUUUCUUUGGCUCAAACUUUUUACUCUUUUGAUAUUGAGAAAAGGUCCAUAAUAGAUUAGGGGUACUCAAGUUCAUGAAAACUUAAAAAUUUAGACUUGAGACCUAAAAUAACCAUUUUACCCCUAUCGUGGAAUUUAUCAUUAUUUCUAUUUUCUUUGCUUAUUUCAUUAUUAUAUACAUCAUUCAUUUAUUCCUUAAGCCUACUUAGGCUUUAAUAAUAUUAGAAACUCCACUUCUAGGAGCUUAUCAAUAAAAUGACGUAAUUACCCUUAGUUCAUGUUAUCGUGUCUAUUUCUAGUUACGUGUCUAUAGAGGUUGAGGUUUCACAAUGAUGCCUUGGACAUGAUGGUCGACCAUGGGAUAAGGAUGAAGUUUCAAAGCUUCCUUUGUAAGCUUUGACCAAGCUUUAUGGAAAAAUUAUCGUUCUGCCUUCCAAGGUUUUCAUCCUUUCAAUUAAGUCCUUCGUCUUAUCGAUUCAGUUAUGUUGACUACUACACAAGGGUACAAGGUAUUACAAGGUUCUAGUCCUUCAACAUGAUAUGUGAUAUGUGACAACGAAGUGUAGAUGGAGAGCUCCAGUCCACGAUGUUUGUGUCAAUGGAAGGACAAUUAUGUUAUUAUGUGUUGAGGCAUAACUUAUACAACAUGUGUACGAUGAAAUUGUGAUGAAAUGAAUACUAUUAUGUGAAUGCUUGAUGGUUUACAAAUUAUGUACGUAUGUGAUGCAUGGUAGAUCCUAACAAGGAUCUUAUGUAUGAUUCAAGUAUUGGUAUUUUAUUAACCAUAGAUCGGAUUUAAGAACUAAGUACCAAAACCUUUGCGAGGGAUCCGAUACUCCAAGUAAAAUGUGAUAUCCUUGUUUUGCAUAGAAAGGUUUUCACAAGUACUUAAUCUUUUAUUUAUAAAUGUGUUUAUGAAAAAUGGAAUUUUGAUUAAAGAAAGUUGUUUGUUUACAACAAUCUCAUUUUCAAGGAUUUGAAUUAGAAAGCUAAGAUUAUGUCAAAAAUGCAUGUUUACGAUAAAUAUGUGAUUUGUGCAAAAAGUCUUCCCCUUGGCUUGUCUUCUUUUCGUAUUUACUCACGGAGUUUUUGUGACUCAUUAGCUAGUUUCCUUUAUUUUUGUUUUACAUAUCAGUAGCUCACUUGGCUUGGUGCCUUGUGGAAGAGUAGCUUAGCUCAUACUUGGAAGGUGUGAUAGUGCUUUCCUUCUAGCCCUCUAGUGUUGUUACACUUCGUAGAGUGUUGAGUCGAGUCUUAAAUAUUCAUGUUGAUGUUGAUACUUGAUUUUGUAAAUAAGUGUUAGUGUAAACGUAUGAGUAAAGUAUACCAAGAGGGGGUGAACGAAUAUUUAUAAAAACUUAUUUGAAAAUUUAGUUAUCAAGAUCAAAACUUUUUCACCCAAAAAUAUUUUCUAGCAUUAAAAACAGUUUUCCAAUAAUCAAUCACUUAAGCUCAAAAAUAAUAUAUCAAGAUAAAAUAUUUUUCCUAAGUUAAUUCUAGCUAUGAAAAGUAAAAAGAAAAAUAUUUUUCUCAAUGUAAAACAAUAAAUCAAUAUAAAACUAUUUUCCUAAGGCAAAUAUAAGUAACAACUAAUUAUGUGGAAAAUUAAAGAGAGACAUGAAGAAUUUAUAAUAUUCAUCUUUUUUGAUACCUACAUCCACUUCCUUGGUAACCAAGGAAUUGCAAUCUACUAUCAAGGAUUUUUGUUUUUUAACGGGAUCAAGCGACAAACCUUACAACGGCUUUUUCAUGGGAUCAAGUGAUAACCUUUACACAAUCCACAAAAGGAUCCUUGCUUUUUAACGAGAUCAAGCGAUAAUCCAUCAACAAUGAUUUUUAGGGACUCAAUCACUAACCCUCGCAAAUAGCUUUUUAAGGUUAAGUUAAAAGCUUUAGAAGAUGUGUGUACAAAGGAGUAAUAGCAAAGAUUUGCCUCACAUAGGCUAUAUGUUAGAGAUUCUGGCUUGGAUUUAGUGAGAGAAGGAAAAUUAGCUCAAAUGAAGCAAGUAUUCAACUUUGUAAGCUUGGUGGAAGACUAAAAUGAUGCUAGAGAGUGAAUAUGUGCUUUUGGAGGUUUCUCUCAAGUUUGAAGCUUUGGUUCAGGUCUUCUUUUGCUUCCAAAUAGAUCAAAUGCGACUAUUUAUAGCUGUGUUGAAGUUUAGAACUGUUAGACACAAGAUUGAAUCAAAUCUGACCAUUGUUGAAGCUUGAAGGUCGACUACAACGCUUAUAGGGUUGACUAUGUUUGUGAAACCCUGACCUCUAUAGAUACGUGACUAGAGGUAGACUGAUGAGUGUAUCAAACUCACAUAUUUAAUGGGAGAUUAAAUACCUAAUUAGUCUAAGUUAGACUAGAUUUAGGAUUGAAUUUAGGUAUUUUUAUUUAUUUUAUUAGUUGAAUUUAAUUUAUGUUCGAAUGUUUAUUUUAAGUUAAUAAUGUUAGUUUUACGUUAGCUAUAUUUAUUUUAUGUUUUUAUAGGAGUAAUAUCAAAAAAUAAUUUCAAUUGGUGAAGAAAGGUGCAUAAUGGACUGUUGCUCUAUUUGCACAUGUUUCAGUUUUUCAAGCAUAUCUCCCAUUACAGAAGUCCAAAUGACAUGAUUUUUAGACCAUUAGAAAGCUAAGAGGCAGGGUUACAACUUUGCCCAGUUCUGAUUAGAAGGUAGUCAAAAUAUUUGUUAAAGUGAAAGCAUUACACUAGAAGAGCAAAAAGGGCAUUUUUGUAAAUUUUGUGAAACUUUGACUAACUUUAGAGAUAAAUAUCUAAUUUUCAAGCUGCUUCUUCUCACUUUCAACAGUUUCUUCUCCUUCUUCCCAUCUCUUUUCCCCAUCUCAAGUUCUCCAACUUCCAUGGCAACUUCCUUAGAAACUUCUAUGAUUUUUCGCAUGGUAACCCCAAAUCUUAUGUUUUUAUACACCUUGUCAUAGGAUUUUUCAUGCUCUUUCAUUUUUACACCUUUAGAACCCUAAAAAAUCUUUCCUCCAUACUUUCGCUCACUGGCUAGACAUUUUAGAGAGAGAGAGAGAUAGACUUUCCAUAAUAGCUUGACAAACUCUUGGAAAGGAAUUCAACUACAAAACCACUAAGGUGAGUAAUGAUAUUAGGGUUUAUUUUGAGUUGUUGAUGAUGGCCAAUAACUAGGUUUGUGGGCUGAUUUAUUACUGAAGGUUAUUUAACCAUGUCUAGUGUGAACAAUGACUACAUAAAUGAUAAUUGGAAGCUAGUUAAGAAUAACAAGUAGAGCUUGAUUUAAAAAAUAGCUUUUAGAAUUGUAUUUAUGCAAAUUGGGUUGGUAGUGAUGUUGUGUGUGUGUGAUAGGUUCCAANNNNNNNNNNNNNNNNNNNNNNNNNNNNNNNNNNNNNNNNNNNNNNNNNNNNNNNNNNNNNNNNNNNNNNNNNNNNNNNNNNNNNNNNNNNNNNNNNNNNNNNNNNNNNNNNNNNNNNNNNNNNNNNNNNNNNNNNNNNNNNNNNNNNNNNNNNNNNNNNNNNNNNNNNNNNNNNNNNNNNNNNNNNNNNNNNNNNNNNNNNNNNNNNNNNNNNNNNNNNNNNNNNNNNNNNNNNNNNNNNNNNNNNNNNNNNNNNNNNNNNNNNNNNNNNNNNNNNNNNNNNNNNNNNNNNNNNNNNNNNNNNNNNNNNNNNNNNNNNNNNNNNNNNNNNNNNNNNNNNNNNNNNNNNNNNNNNNNNNNNNNNNNNNNNNNNNNNNNNNNNNNNNNNNNNNNNNNNNNNNNNNNNNNNNNNNNNNNNNNNNNNNNNNNNNNNNNNNNNNNNNNNNNNNNNNNNNNNNNNNNNNNNNNNNNNNNNNNNNNNNNNNNNNNNNNNNNNNNNNNNNNNNNNNNNNNNNNNNNNNNNNNNNNNNNNNNNNNNNNNNNNNNNNNNNNNNNNNNNNNNNNNNNNNNNNNNNNNNNNNNNNNNNNNNNNNNNNNNNNNNNNNNNNNNNNNNNNNNNNNNNNNNNNNNNNNNNNNNNNNNNNNNNNNNNNNNNNNNNNNNNNNNNNNNNNNNNNNNNNNNNNNNNNNNNNNNNNNNNNNNNNNNNNNNNNNNNNNNNNNNNNNNNNNNNNNNNNNNNNNNNNNNNNNNNNNNNNNNNNNNNNNNNNNNNNNNNNNNNNNNNNNNNNNNNNNNNNNNNNNNNNNNNNNNNNNNNNNNNNNNNNNNNNNNNNNNNNNNNNNNNNNNNNNNNNNNNNNNNNNNNNNNNNNNNNNNNNNNNNNNNNNNNNNNNNNNNNNNNNNNNNNNNNNNNNNNNNNNNNNNNNNNNNNNNNNNNNNNNNNNNNNNNNNNNNNNNNNNNNNNNNNNNNNNNNNNNNNNNNNNNNNNNNNNNNNNNNNNNNNNNNNNNNNNNNNNNNNNNNNNNNNNNNNNNNNNNNNNNNNNNNNNNNNNNNNNNNNNNNNNNNNNNNNNNNNNNNNNNNNNNNNNNNNNNNNNNNNNNNNNNNNNNNNNNNNNNNNNNNNNNNNNNNNNNNNNNNNNUAUAAAACAUAUAUAUAUAUAUAUAUAUAUAUAUAUAUACAUACAUCAUCAUGCAUACCAUCCCGCCACACUCAGCUUAUGUGCACUCCCACACCGCACAUAGUUGGGUCAUCAUUAGCUCAUGUGCACUCUUACACCGCACAUAACUGGGUCAUCAUUAUCACACAAAAAGAGCAUCCAAAGCAUAAUGUACGUAUCAAUAUAAUAUGAUAAUGCAUGAACUAUUCAUAUUGCACAUUUCAUAAGAUAGAAACAUUUCAUCAAGGGCUUGUUCCCCAAGUAUAUAUAUUUUUUAAAGCAAAAACAAAUGAAUCUUUCAAAUGAUUUAUUUAAACAUGUAGGCACUUCCCAAAACAUUUUGAAAUGCAAGUUCACUCACCGGUAUUUGUUGAAUCUUAGAUUGACUCCAACUUCCAUUAAUGCUCCAAAUGGAGAUGUGGGGUCUCGUUGGAACUUAUCACACAGAAUAGCAUUACAAAUUAACUCAAUUCACAUAACCAUAAUUCUAAAAGCUUUCUCUUAAUUCAUGUUCUACUAGUUAUUCCUAAUUAGCUUACAAUUGCCAUUAAGUGGCUAUUUACUUUUUUUAUUCUAAUAACAUUAAAGAUGAAUAAAUAACCUCAACUACAAAACAUUCACAAAUCUAUCUACUAGCCAUUCUCAACAACUUAAAAAUCAACUUUAAUUCACUACUCACCUUGGUAGCUUUGUAAUUGAAUUCCUUUCCAAAAAUUUUCAAGCUAUUAUAGAAGCCCUCUCUUUCUCUCUCUAAAACACCUAGCUGGUGAGAGGAAGUAUGGAAGCAAGAUAUUAUAAGGGUUUUAAGGUGAGAGAGUAAAAGAGCACAAAAAGUUCUAUGAAAAAGUGCACAAAAGUAUGAAAAUUGGGGUUAACUUGAGAGAAUUUAUGGGGGUUUCAAAACAAGCUUCCGUGGAGGAUGAAAGAAAUGUGAGAUGGGAGGAAGAAGAAGAAGAAGCAGCUGAAAAAUGAAAUUUAUAGCUAAAGCUUAUCCAAACUUCACUUAAAUUACGAAAAUGCCCUUAACAAGUUGGCUUUGUCUUCCUCUAAUCUUUUGUGCAAUCUUUUUACUCUUUUGACACUGAGAUAAAGUCCAUAAUAGUUUAGAAAUACUCGGGUUCACGAAAAUUUAAAAAUUUCUACUCAAGAUAAAAAUGACCAUUUUGCCUUUACCUUAAAAAUCAUCAUUAUUUUUAUUUUCUUCGUCAUUUUAUCCUCAUUUUCAUCAUUCAUUUAUUCCUUAGGCCUACUUAGGUCUUAAAAAUAUUAGAAAACCCAUUUUUAAGAGCUCACUAAAGAAAAUGAUGAAAUUACCCCUAGUCCAUGUUAUGGUGUCUACUUCUAACUACAAGUCUAUAAAAAUCAAGGCCUCACAUUCUCCCCCACUAAAAGAAAUUUGGUCCUCGAAUUUAAAUCGAACUAUAAGACAGCGCAACUAUAUGCAUUGAAGAGGUGUGGAUACUUGUCCGUAACUCCUCUUUGGCCUCCCACAUUACCUCUUCACUAGUGUGGUUUCGACAUAAUGCUUUCACAAGGCUACAUCCUUUGAGCGGAGCUUUUGACUUGUCUAUUAAGAAUAGUAGCAACUGGUUGCUCCUCAUAUGUUGAAUCAUUAUUAACGAAGUUAAGUUUCAUCUUCUAAAUCAAUUCCUCCAAUUACUUGCAUUAGGGUACUAUCAUCGUUUAUUCUCCAUCUGUGGCACUAGUGCUUCGUAGAAGUCUAAUUUAACUAUGAUAGAACACUUCCUGAAUCCUUACAUCUUAAUCAUAUUAAUCCAUUGGUAUGGCUCAACCACAACAUAGAUUCCAAUUCCUUAAUAUCCUUUAUUUCUCUUUUGCUCCUGAAUUCUCCUUUAUUCACUUAGCUCAAUUUCUAAUGGUAACUUUCAUCAUCGUGUCAUCUAUACAACUUAUUAAACAUGUCGAAUUCAAAACUCAAAUCACUAUAAAUAAUUCUUCACUUUAAUUAAUCACAUAAUCAUCUCCAUAUAUAUAUAUAUAUAUAUGUAUGUACAUAUGUCACGAGGGUUUUCUCUUUACACCCAUGCGACGCUCAACCAUGCCCCUUCCUGGGUUGCUUUGGUGGCUAAGCCAGCCUAACCUGAUCAAUGAUGGUUCCCCUUGAUGAGAAUACUGAUGCAGAAGUGAAAUCUCGAACACCGGCAUUCUCAAUCAACCGAGCCCUUGCUUGCUAAGCCCUUAAUUCGCACACUCGUGCCGCUCAUGUAUCGAGCCCUUGCCCUGAGGGCACCACCUCUAGCAGCCCCUAGUCUGGCUGCACGUUACUCUCAGGCACCUCUCUGACCCGCACUCUCACAAACGAGGCAACUGGCACAAAAUAGAAAAGGACACGCAAUAAGGAAGCAAGUAGGAAAAAUGGGUUUUGUAUUUUCACUCAAAAUACAAUUUACAAGGGUGGCCUAAGCCAAGUACACAAUGUGCUGUAGCACCUCAACCUAGCAGCCUUGGCUGACACACACUCUAGCCCCCACAAUGGCCCCCAAGUGCCCAGCUGCUCACUCUCAAGCAGACUCCUCACUGCCCACUUCCCCCUUGGCAAGGUCCCCCAAGGUCCCUUUUAUAGUGGGAAGCCUCCCUUAGCAGUUCCAAGGGGUUCCCAACCGGUUUGGUGCCAUUUAGAGUCUGUUUGGCCAUUCUGACAAGCCUCUGGGCCGUUGGCCAACGGCUAAUCUACUUGUUGGGCUAGCUAGUCUUUCCUGCGCACUCUAGGCCUGUAUAGAAGCCUUCUCUUUCUUUCUCUAAAAUACUUAGCUAGUGAGAAGAAGUAUAAGAGCAAGACAUUUUAAGGGUUUUAAGGUGAGAGAGUGAAAGAGCACAAAAGGUUCUAUGAAAAAGUGCAUAAAAGUAUAAAAAUUGGGGUUAACUUGAUAAAAUUUAUGGAGGUUUCAAAACAAGUUUCCAUGGAGGAUGAAAGAAACGUGAGAUGGGAGGAAGAAGAAGAAGAAGUUGUUGGAAAAUGAUAUUUAUAGCUAAAGCUUAUCCAAACUUCACUUAAAUUAUGAAAAUGGCCUUAACAAGUAGGCUUUGUCUUCCUCCAAUCCUUUGUGCAAUCUUUUUACUCUUUUGACACUGAGAUAAAGUCCAUAAUAGUCUAAAAAUACUCGGGUUCACGAAAACUUAAAAAUUUUGACUCGAGAUGAAAAAUGACCUUUUUACCCAUCUGUCUGUGCCCUAGUUCUGCUUGCUUGCGCUCCUACUCUACCCGCCUACGCCCUAGAGGGGUUUCUGCGCUUGUGCGCCCUACUUUGAGCUCCUUGCAAGCCCCACUGCCUGGGCCUUCUGCACGUUAAAAUUGCCUAUCCCAGUCAUCUGUACACCCAAGCAGGGUCUGGUGGUUGGAGAUCAGCCCCAUCUACGAGCCAUGCCGCCCUCCAUCGAGCCAGCACGCUUAGUGAAACAAAAUGGUCGUGACACAUACACAUUUAAGAAUCAUCAUCCAUCACUAUAUGUAGGAACCCUCGUCAAUUACUUUGAGGUAAAUUUCCUCUAUUCAUUCCAAUCCAUAACCUAUGUUCAUCAUCAUAUUCUCAUAGCUCAUGUUUCCUUUCUUACUUUUCCAUUUCAUUCCCAUAGGUCAAGUUUAAUCCAUGAAUAUUAGGGUAUAAUCAACUCCAUAUUACCCCUUCGAAUGUUUAAAUCACCAUUUACUUUACAUCUUACCAUAAAUUGGUUCUUAUGUAAUCCACACAGAUUCUUAUUGUGCCUAUGCAUAACUUCACAUAAUUUACAUGCUUAUACUAUUUUCUUAUCAUUUCUAAUCAGAUGUGUAAGCUUCACCCUACCGCUCAUCCUUACGCCACAUUGUCAUAAACAUGUCACAAUCACUAAUUAUCAUUUUCAUCAAGUUACCCUCCAGUAUCCAUGUAUGCCUUACUAUUUUGUUGAUCUUUCAAAUUUAUCUUUACUUGAUCAUUACAUUUAUGCUAUACCACAAUCCUUAAAAGUCUUCUUUACUUCGUAAUUGUCUUUUGUACUUCCAACAUAUAUGUUAUAUUCUUAUGUCAUCUCGACAUUACUUAGUCCCAAUUCAUAUUCUUGUAUCCUGACUCUAAAUCAUGGCUUAUUAUCAAAAUCUUUACUUGUACAUGCUUACUUGAAAUAUCAAAUCAUCAUCUCUUUCCCAAGUAGAUCUCUACGAAUCCCGUUGUGUACUACUAUUUCCUCACCAAGGGUAAUAUCGAUUAACUAGAGCAUAUCGCCAUUAUUCAUUAAGCAUUUAAAGCAUAGUUCAAUCCUUGCUUAUCCUUAUCAAGUACUUUACUUUGAUAAUUGCUCAAAAUGAAAUAACAUGUGAAGGAAACACUUUUUGCCAUUGUAUACUCUGCCUCCACAAGCGUAUCAAGACCGUAAUAUUAUCGGGCCUACAUAAUGGCAAGAUAAUCAUUACCUCAAACCAACAUUUCCAAUCAUUCUUAGACUUGCAGUGUAUCUUUGUACUAUGUGACAUAUCAGUCAUGAACACCAACGUCACUAUAUAACUAUUAGCUCCUUGAGCUUUAAUGUUUUCACAUUGUGAGAACCUUUUCAAAUUAUCUCACCAAAGUGUUCACAAAGUGGAUACAAGCCCAUAACUUAUGGUUCAUUGCCUAAAGUAGGGAACACUAUCCCAUCAUUAAAGUUUUAUCUACCAAUCAUAGCUCCCUUGCACAUUUACCUAUACAUUGCUUGGUUGCUCAUGACCCUUUCAUGGCCAUGCCAUUUUAAUCUUUUAUGGCAAGUUAACUAAUAUAUUCUUUUAUGCUUUUCAAUACAUUUUCGAAACACUUAAACACAUCUUUUGGUGGAAUUCAGUUGAAUACUUAAACAAUCAAAAGCUUACCUUCAAAACCACUCAUAACUUUAACAAUCCAAUGAAUGCUCAAUGACAUUCCACCUCAUUGGUUCCAACGAACAUUAUUUUCAAAUCUCCCAAGGCAUCCUUGUCCUUAAUUCAGACCACACAACUAUCUUAGUAUAUUUGCAUUGAUUAUUCUUAAGCUUCUUAUGUUCAUCAUAGCAACAUCCAUCUUUCUCCCAUUAUUUACCUUACUUUUCAUUCACUCUUUCUGUCACGACCCAAUUUCUAGAGCCAUGACCGGCGCAUGAGCUCAAUGAGCAUAGCUCACUAAGCCCAAGCAAGCCUAUCCAUUUGCCUUUGCUUACCAAAUUUAUCAUAUCAUGAAUACACACACAUCUUUUUUCAGGUGUGAACAUAGCCAAAACACAAUGGCAUCAUCGAUAAUAAUAUACAUGCACUAUACCAGUCAUGUAUUUAGCAAUUUAUAUUACAUACACAUAUUCACAUUGUUAGAUUGUAUUCACAAUACAAAAGGAUCCAUGACUUCCAGCGGAGAUAUUUACAAUAAAAAGAAGUACUAUCGAAUGCCAGACACGUACCCAGGAGAUGCACUACGGGGACUCCUCGAUCUAGGGUCCAACAGUCACCUGAUCUGAAAACAUAAAUUUUUAUAAAACGUGAGUACAAUACUCAAUGAGUGAAUAUUAGAAGGGAACAAGCAAUCUCAACCAGGAAAUUUGACAAUCAUGUUGCACCGGUUGAAAAUAAAGCCAUUUUCAUCUAACUACUAUUCCAAAUCCUUUUUCCCUUACCUAGAAAUUUAUUACGCAUUCAAGGAUUAAACAUCCUUGAAUUUACACCGAUUAUUCUAGCAAAGUAGUAAAACUGACGGUUAUUUACAAAUCGUCACAUAAUAAGGGUUUCACAACCGGUACAAUGCAUAUAUGCAUAUGUAUCACGUACAAUUUCAUUCACCAAUUGUUAUAUCAAGCAAGAUAGCAAAAUUAACGGUUUAUCACAAACCGUCACAAACAAGGGUUUCACAUACCACACAAUCACACAUAUAUACAUAAAGAUAUGAGCAAUUAUAUACACCGCCAAGUCUUCACUGUUCUUGGUGGUACAAAGAAAUAAUUAUCGGAGCACUCGGUAAGGGGUAUCACUCAGUAUCCCUCUUUGCACACCUCUGAAUUUCUAGGAAAUUGUGGGCGCUACGUAUCGCCGUCCCCACUUUGCACAUGCACAGUCGUAAUUAUCACAACCUUUAUCAUUAAACUGGCAUUUGUACUUCCCACUCCGCACAUGCACGGUCGAAAUUAUCACAACCUUUAUCAUUAAACUGGCAUUUGCACUUCCCACUCCGUACAUGCACGGUCGUAAUUAUCACAUCCUUUGUCAUUCAACUGGCAUUGCAGUUCCCACUCCGCACAUGCACGGUUGCAUCAAUUUCACCAUAAUUUAUCAAUAAUGCAUAUCAGCAUAAUACAAGGGUACACAGAUUCAAUACACUUAAUUUCACACAAUUUCUCGAUAAUACAUGUAGGCAUCAUACAUAUAUACACAUAUGCAUCGCAAUCAUAUUUAACAUCACAGAAAUAUUUUCACUAAAGGCUUGUUCUCGAGAUUCAUUUUUAAAUGGGAAUUAGAUAUAAUCAUUCACGCAUUUCAUUUCAACUUAAUUAGAAUUCCCAAAUAAAUUUUGAAAUGCAAAUUCACUCACAGGUGUCGAAAAUCUAGAUUCUGGGUGCACUCGAACUAAUAGUCCUCAAGCGUAAUUCUUUUGCCUUUUCCGAACGUCUCACUACCUUGACAAAUAACAAAGUCGAGAAAUUUACUAUAUUGUCCCUAAAUUAAUAUAAACUAAUUUAAAUUACUAAUGCUUGAUAUGUAAAUGCAAAAAUACGUUCGAUUACCGCUUAAUCGCGAUAUCGAUUAAAUUCGAUCGAUCACCCGAUUAUUGGCGAUUGUGUCCAAUUAACCUCCAAAUUAAUCCAUUUCUCCUCUAAUACCUUAAUUUACCACAUACCAUUUAAAUAAAGCCAAAUUUAGCAUUAGAGCCCUCACAGUUCCUUAUAGAAAAAUUUGGUCAUUUGGUGCACUAGCACCGAAAUUUUUUUCUACAUAACCGUUUCACCUUAAUUCAUCAUUUUCCAAGCCAUUUUGCUUGAAAUAAAAACAAUCCCCCAUUGAUAUUCAGCCCUCAUGGUUCGACCAACAAGGAACCCUAGAGAAAUUGAAUAUUUCUUUUGUGUUUUUGUUCAUAAUCGUGCUUAACUAUCCCUAAACAUUAACAUAGUCUAAAAUCAAAUUAUUCCAACAACAAUUCCUCUUCCAUAUCCAUUUUUCAGAAUUGAAUUCAUCAUGAUAACUCAAUAUUCAACCAUGGAAAUCAAGAACAAAAGAAUGGGUAAGCUAGGUAUCAAGGAGAAUUAAAGAAAUUUUAACUUACCUAGCUUGUUUCCUUGAUUUCUUCACUUUUUCUUUGAAUUUCCACCUAGGUUUUCUUGUUUUUCCCUUUGUUCUUCCUUUGUUCUUGUUGCUGGUUGCCUAGGCCGAAUAUGGUGAGAGAAUUGGGGAUUUAAUGGGCUGAUUUCUGUAGAAAAUAAUAAAUAAUCAAGCAUGCCACGUGUCACAUGCUUAUUGGCCCAAAUUUUUAACUUUUUGGCUUUUUCUUCUUAAUUUUCCACCACAAAUAUUCUGGUAUUUAUUCAAUCCUACCACAAUUAAAAUCCCUUGAUCUUGACAAGUGCUGGGGCGAAAAAUUUAUCGAUUUGCCCUCGGGGCAAAAAAAUUAUGAUUUUGCCUUUAUACUCCGAAAUGUACCAGAAUCACAUUAUUUCUACUUUUCAACCUCAAAUAACACUAAUAUUGAUCAAUAUUAACCAAUUGAGGCAAAAAUUGUUUUAUAAAAAUUUUCGUUUAGUCCUUUAGUGGUAAAAUUUCUAUUUUGCCCUUGUGCUCUAAAAAUAUCUGGAAUCAUAAUUUUUCACUGCUAAACAUCAUUUUAUACUCCAACAAUCAUAAUUAUAUUUUAUAUAAUUAUUCUUGAUCAAAUGUGAUCAAAUCUUGACUAGAAAUCUCCAUUUUAUCAUCAAAUGGUAAAAUAACCGUUUUGUCCCUAAUCGAUCAAUUUUCCUGAUGGACUCCAAACUGGACCUUGAACUCCGAAUCACCAUUCUAAGCCAUUUUGUGGGUUUCAAAAGUUUCAAUUUCCACUUAGAAUUCUAUUUGAACUAGUUCAAGGCUCGAUUUAACUUAGUUGUACCACUCGGUACAAUACCGUCUUUUAAUCGAGCUUGACAGGGUCUCACACUUUCCUUAGCCUUUAAUAAGGCUUAAUCUCUUGUCUCAUUUACCUACAUGUCAACAUAUAAGGCAAUAAAGAAACUUUUCAAUUCAUUCAUAUAAAUACUUUUCCAAAACCAUAAAACUCCAAUUAACGAAGCUUAACAUCAAGUCCAAAUGACCAUAAUUCAGCUCGUAAGUUUAGUUUCAUGCCCCUCACAUUUUAUUCAUACGUCCUAGACAUGAGGUGCUCCUAGCACUGUGGUGCGGUGGUUGCUAGGUUUGCUUAAUCAAUGCUAUUUGUCUACAUUUAAGGUUACUACAUUGAUCAUCCUUGACCGUUUGGUUUUCCUCCAAGCCUACGUCACAAUUUCCAUAGCCAUUUAUAUUCCCGUAGGUUUAUCAAAUAUAAUAGGCCAAGCCAAUAUUUUCAAAUUCAUCUCAUCCCUUAACACUUGUCACCAAUCAAUAAAUCCCACCUUAGGACAUCUUUCCAUAUUGUAUAAUGAAUUCACUGUGUACGUAUAACACCGCACACAUAAUUAUUCACUGCUUCUAGUAUUCCACAAUUCCUUAGUAUUCGUAACUAGUUGUCUUUCUUAUCUUAUAACUCAAAUAGUUUAACCACUUCAACUUAGUAUCAUCAUGAAUUUUGUCUAUCUUGAUUAUUCUACUUAUGCUCACAUCAUUACUUCAAAAUUCUAGAAUUUAUUCUUCCCCCAUUUCAUAAUUAUUUCCAAUAGUGUAUAUUAUGUCAAUUUGGUAUCUUAUAAUACCACCUAUGUAACCCACCAAGCAUAUUGUGUUCAAAUCUCAAAUCGCUAAGAACAAUUCUUUGUUUCCACCAAUGACAUGAGUAACUCCACAUAUACAUAAACACAUCCAUUUAAAUGUCGACAUCCAUUACCAUGUGUAAGAACCCCUUUCUUACUUUCCUCAAUUUCGACAUGACUACUCCACAUUUCGGUCUUUUGUGGUAUGCCAAGAUCAUCCUUUAGGCAUAUUCCACUACUAACAAUCGUAUACCUUUACCAUAACAUUUUAAUGCAACUUGAUUAGACAAUUGUUUCCAAAUAACUCUUAAAUACCUAAACAUCAAGUUGUACACCACUUAGUGUUAAGAUCUUAACUUUACUCACCAAUCCUUAACCAAUUACAUUUAUAAAGUGAAUGAUUUACUUAACUGUUGCAUUUCACCCUUGCGUCUAUAAAAUCAAAAUUUCUUAAACUUAAGAUGUAGAAACUCCUGCUUAGAACUUAUCCAAAAAUUGAUAUUUCCUAAAUCCUAUACCUUUGUGAAGAUCACAUUCGGAACUGAUCAUUUUUAUCAUAGAUUGCAUACUGAACCCAAUAGACUUUUAAAUUGAUCGUUAAAGCAAUUCGUAUCUCAAACUCAAGUAUAGAACUUAAUAUGGCAUUUAGACUAGAUUCGACAUCUCUUAGUCAUUUAACUUCAAGCUAUCAAAUCCACAACUAGUGCUUUAAUCCUUUGACCUCACGCAUAGCAUAACAAAGUUCAUGCUCCUCUUCAGAGAAAAUUUGUUUACCAACCUUUCACUUGAUGACCACACAUCAAUUAUAAUAGUCACUAAAUUUCACCCUUAAGCUAAUUCAUGUACUUAUAACUAUAAACCAUAAUAAUUCAAAUCGAGCCUUGGGAUCUUGCAAUUACUUAAUUGAAAUCAAAACCAGCUCCAUCUAAGCUCCUAUGCACAUAGUCGAAACUUAUACGCUUACAAAAUAUUUCAAAAGCCCACACCAUUUCUAUAGGGGCAUGACAAGCUUAUUUAACAUAGUGCACUUACCUUCAUGCACAUAAACAUCAGUUUACACCUUCCUCAAUACAUAGAUCUAUAAACUCCAAGUAAAUUACAACCAUCACUAUUCAUUCCAGUCAAAGUGCGCCCCUUAUUACCAUUAUCAUACGUGUUCCUUUAUAUUGACCUCAAUAAUAAUCCAAUGUCAUCCAAUUUCUUCUCAUUGACAAUUAUGGGCUUAAAUUAUAACUUCACUAAAUGAAUAAGUCAUUACGGACCUAUUAGUUCAGCUUCAAUUUCCUCCACCUUUAAUAAGAGGGAUUUGUUAUUACAUUAAACUUUCAUUACGAGCAUUUGUUUAAAAUCUUUCCAACAACAGCUCGUGUCUCCAGUGGCAUCUGAAAACCAGACAACGACACCACUUGUGACCUUUACAUAAUGUUAGCAAGAGGGUAGGUUACUAGGAAUAGGAGUUCAUAUAGCUGAUAAAAUAGCCAACAGUCUGAUGGUGCCAUGCCUAGCAACUAGUGUAAAGGUCUCAAAAUUAUCAACGCCAUAUACAUGUGCAUAGCCUUUAACAACUAACUUGGCUUUGUACUUGUUAACCGAACCAUUUGGAUUCAUAUUUGCUUUGAAAAUCCACUUCACAUGUGAAACCUCGACCUCCAUAGACGCGUAACUAGAGGUAGACUGAUGAGUGCAUCAAAUUCAUAUAUUUAAUGGGAGAUAAAUACCUAAUAAGUCUAAGUUGGACUACAUUUAGAAUCGAAUUUAGGUAUUUUUAUUUAUUUUAUUAGUUUAGUUUAAGUUAUGUUUAAAUGUUUAUUUUAAGUUAAUAAUGUUAGUUUUACAUUAUUUAUAUUUAUUUUAUGUUUUUAUAGGAGUAGGAUCAAAAAUAAUUUCAAUUGGUGAAGAAAGUGCAUAAUGGACUGUUGCUCUAUUGGCAUAUAUUUUGGUUUUUCAAGUAUAUCUCCCACUACAAAAGUUCAAAUGACAUGAUUUUUAAUUCAUUAGAAAGCUAAGAGGUAGGGCUACAACUUUGAUGUUUACCACUUUGCCCAAUUCUGAUUGGAAGGUGAAAGUACUGCACUAAAAGAAUAAAAAAGGGCUUUUUUGUAAAUUACGUGACACUUUGACUAACUUUAAAGAUAAAUAUCUAAAGUUUCAGCACUUUCUCCUCACUUCCAGCAGCUUCUUCUUCUUCUCCCAUCCUUUUUCCCUAUUUCAAGUUUUUCAUAUUCCAUGGAGGCCACAUGUGAGACCUUGAUCUUUAUAGACUCGUAGCUGGAAAAAGAAGCAAAAUCACAAAUUAGGGGUAAUUUCGUCAUUUCCUUAGUGAGCCUAUAGAAGUAUGCUUUCAAACAUUAUUAAGGCCUAAGUAGGCCUAAGGCAUAAAUGAAUGAUGAAAUAAUGACAAAAUGAUGAAGAAAAUAAAAAUAAUGAUGAUUUUUAAUCUAGGGGCAAAAUGGUCAUUUUUCAUCUCGAGUAGAAAUUUUUAAGUUUCGUGAACUCGAGAAUUUUUAGACUAUUGUGGACUUUGUCUCAGUGUCAAAAGGGUAAAAAGAUCGCACAAAGGAUUGGAGGAAGACAAAGCCAACUUGUUAAGGGCAUUUUUGUAAUUUAAGUGGAGUUUGGAUAAGCUUUAGCUAUAAAUAUCAUUUUCCAACAGUUUCUUCUCAUUUUUCCAGCAGCUUCUUCUUCCUCUUCCUCCCAUCUCACGUUUCUUUCAUCCUCCAUGGAAGCUUGUUUUGAAACUUCCAUAACUUCUCGCAAGUUAACUCCAAUUUUCAUGCUUUUGUGCGCUUUUUCAUAGAACCUUUUCUACUCUUUCACACUCUCACUUUAAAACCCUUAAAAAAUCUUACUUCCAUACUUCUUCUCACUAGCUAGGUGUUUUAGAAAGAGGAAGAGGGAGCUUCUACAAUAACUUGAAAACUCUUAGAAAAGGGGUUCAAUUAUAAAGCUACCAAGAUAAGUAGUGAAGUAGAGUUGAUUUUUUUGUGUUGAGAAUGGCUAGUGAUUAGACUUGUGAGUGUUUUGUAGUUGAGGUUGUUUAUUCAUUUUAGAGUGAUUAGGAUAGUGAAAAUAGAUAGUCACUUAAUAGCAAAUGGAAGCUGGUUAGGAGAUAGCUUUUAGAAUUUAUAGUUAUGUGAAUUGAGUUAAUUGUGAUGCUAAUGUGAUGAUAGGUUCCAACGAAGCUGCACUACCCCAUUUGGACCAUUAGAGGAAGUUGGAGUUGGG